RNAcentral lists this transfer RNA (91 nucleotides) under Actinomycetota bacterium. Its description in RNAcentral is "tRNA-Ser". It matches the Rfam family "tRNA". Rfam says of the family: Transfer RNA (tRNA) molecules are approximately 80 nucleotides in length. Their secondary structure includes four short double-helical elements and three loops (D, anti-codon, and T loops). The record is from RNAcentral. Lineage: Bacteria; Bacillati; Actinomycetota.
GGAGAGGUGCCGGAGCCAGGUUGAUCGGGGCGCCCUGCUAAGGCGUUGUGGGCCGCAAGGCUCACCGUGGGUUCAAAUCCCACCCUCUCCG